Molecule: ribosomal RNA, 397 nt
Filed under: uncultured bacterium
Lineage: Bacteria
Description: partial 16S ribosomal RNA
Rfam family: Bacterial small subunit ribosomal RNA
Source: RNAcentral
AUACGUAGGUGACAAGCGUUAUCCGGAUUUACUGGGCGUAAAGGGCGUGUAGGCGGUCUUGCAAGUCAGAAGUGAAAUUCCUGAGCUCAACUCGGGCGCAGCUUCUGAAACUGCAGGACUUGAGUGCUGGAGGGGAUAGCGGAAUUCCUAGUGGAGCGGUAAAAUGCGCAGAUAUUAGGAAGAACACCGGUGGCGAAGGCGGCUAUCUGGACAGUAACUGACGCUGAGGCGCGAAAGCGUGGGGAGCAAACAGGAUUAGAUGCCCUGGUAGUCCACGCCGUAAACGAUGAAUACUAGGUGUAGGGGGUAUCGACUCCCUCUGUGCCGCAGUUAACACAAUAAGUAUUCCGCCUGGGGAGUACGGCCGCAAGGUUGAAACUCAAAUGAAUUGACGGGG